AAUAGAUACCCGGGUAGUCCACGCCGUAAACGAUGAGUGCUAAGUGUUAGAGGGUUUCCGCCCUUUAGUGCUGCAGCUAACGCAUUAAGCACUCCGCCUGGGGAGUACGGCCGCAAGGCUGAAACUCAAAGGAAUUGACGGGGGCCCGCACAAGCGGUGGAGCAUGUGGUUUAAUUCGAAGCAACGCGAAGAACCUUACCAGGUCUUGACAUCCUCUGACAACCCUAGAGAUAGGGCUUUCCCCUUCGGGGGACAGAGUGACAGGUGGUGCAUGGUUGUCGUCAGCUCGUGUCGUGAGAUGUUGGGUUAAGUCCCGCAACGAGCGCAACCCUUGAUCUUAGUUGCCAGCAUUCAGUUGGGCACUCUAAGGUGACUGCCGGUGACAAACCGGAGGAAGGUGGGGAUGGACGUCAAAUCAUCAUGCCCCUUAUGACCUGGGCUACACACGUGCUACAAUGGAUGGUACAAAGGGCUGCAAACCUGCGAAGGUAAGCGAAUCCCAUAAAGCCAUUCUCAGUUCGGAUUGCAGG
This 530-nucleotide ribosomal RNA is filed under the name uncultured bacterium. Its description in RNAcentral is "bacterial SSU rRNA". It matches the Rfam family "Bacterial small subunit ribosomal RNA", at positions 777 to 1304 of the family's 1533-position model. The record is from RNAcentral.